GAUGAACGCUGGCGGCGUGCCUAAUACAUGCAAGUCGAGCGAACAGACGAGGAGCUUGCUCCUCUGACGUUAGCGGCGGACGGGUGAGUAACACGUGGAUAACCUACCUAUAAGACUGGGAUAACUUCGGGAAACCGGAGCUAAUACCGGAUAAUAUAUUGAACCGCAUGGUUCAAUAGUGAAAGACGGUUUUGCUGUCACUUAUAGAUGGAUCCGCGCCGCAUUAGCUAGUUGGUAAGGUAACGGCUUACCAAGGCGACGAUGCGUAGCCGAACUGAGAGGGUGAUCGGCGACACUGGAACUGAGACACGGUCCAGACUCCUACGGGAGGCAGCAGUAGGGAAUCUUCCGCAAUGGGCGAAAGCCUGACGGAGCAACGCCGCGUGAGUGAUGAAGGUCUUCGGAUCGUAAAACUCUGUUAUUAGGGAAGAACAAAUGUGUAAGUAACUAUGCACGUCUUGACGGUACCUAAUCAGAAAGCCACGGCUAACUACGUG
Molecule: ribosomal RNA, 497 nt
Filed under: uncultured bacterium
Lineage: Bacteria
Description: partial 16S ribosomal RNA
Rfam family: Bacterial small subunit ribosomal RNA
Source: RNAcentral